This 1192-nucleotide long non-coding RNA is filed under the name Nicotiana tabacum (common tobacco). RNAcentral describes it as "long non-coding RNA (NTAB_LNC006117)". Lineage: Eukaryota; Viridiplantae; Streptophyta; Magnoliopsida; Solanales; Solanaceae. The record is from RNAcentral.
UCCAAAUUGAAUCAAUGAGUCACCAAAUUGUUAGUUCUUUUCUUCAUUAAUAGCAUUUGUAUUUGUUUAAUAUUCUAUUCUUUUAUUCUUUAAUUGGUUCUUACACUUAUAACUGUCAAUAUGCUUAGGUAAUGGAGCCUUGCUGCUUGAACGAUCUCCCUUCCGGAUAUCAUGGUAUCUACAAUCGGUUAAGUUUAUUUAUAAAUAUUGUAACACAUGAAAAAAUAAAAAUUGAUGCCAUAAAAAAUCUUUUAAAAUUCACUCUUCUUAAUCUUUCAGAUCCAUAAAGCAUUUUUUUCUUCUCCUAGAGUAAGUCGUCCAUUCAGCAUUAAUUAAUAAAAGGAAUACAAUCCCCUUUUUUCAGUUUGCAAAGAGUGGUUAAAAUUAUAAUUUUAUCAAUUUGUUUGUUCAAUUUUGGUACAAUUAUUAUUUUAAGUCAUCUUUAUAUACUGUAGUUUUGGAAAGAGUAUCAUGCUAUGUCUAAACUUCAAACAGUUAGCUUUGAAUGUUCGAAUUUAUGCACAGAAUCUUUACGUUGGAGAUUUUAUUGUUCAAACAUUAAGUAUUUAGCUUUAAAUGUUCGUGGACGUAGAGUACUUAUCUAUAAUCUGUUUAAAUCUUAUGUUUCGAUUUUAAUAUAUGUAUAUCUGUAUGGUUUUGUCAAUUACGACACAUUUUUUAUGUUUUUCUUGCUCCGAAGCACAUUUAGGUUUGAUGUCCAAUAGAGAAGGAGAUCUCCAUCCUGGCCUUUCUGUAUGAACUCAUCAUUGUAAGAUUUAUUAAGUUUGAUGCACUUGCUUGAAUUCCAUUGAUCAGUUGCAGCAGCAGCAACAACAAGAGCAGAACUAGAAAGAUCAAUAGCAACAGUAACAGUAACAGCAACGACAACAGCUACAACAUUAAAGUAGCGAAGCAGCAGUAGUAUACGAGAAUUAUAUGGAAUUACAUGUAUGUCUCACAGGAGCGGAGCUAAAGUACUAUGUACUUUCCAUAGAACUAGUAGUUUUUUUUAUUAGAUAUAUAUUUGUGUUAGGAAAUCCAGUAAUUAUGUAAUAAUAUUUAAUUGCGUAGCUAGAGAAUAUGUAUCUAUCUUAUAUCUUUGUUUUAGAGAACUCUAGUUUGUCUUAAAAGACAAAAUAAUAUACUAUAUGGUUCAUAAUUUCAUAUAACUAACCCUUAUGUUUAGUUUGUC